GUCGAGCGAACAGAUAAGGAGCUUGCUCCUUUGACGUUAGCGGCGGACGGGUGAGUAACACGUGGAUAACCUACCUAUAAGACUGGGAUAACUUCGGGAAACCGGAGCUAAUACCGGAUAACAUAUUGAACCGCAUGGUUCAAUAGUGAAAGGCGGCUUUGCUGUCACUUAUAGAUGGAUCCGCGCCGUAUUAGCUAGUUGGUAAGGUAACGGCUUACCAAGGCAACGAUACGUAGCCGACCUGAGAGGGUGAUCGGCCACACUGGAACUGAGACACGGUCCAGACUCCUACGGGAGGCAGCAGUAGGGAAUCUUCCGCAAUGGGCGAAAGCCUGACGGAGCAACGCCGCGUGAGUGAUGAAGGUCUUCGGAUCGUAAAACUCUGUUAUCAGGGAAGAACAAAUGUGUAAGUAACUGUGCACAUCUUGACGGUACCUGAUCAGAAAGCCACGGCUAACUACGUGCCAGCAGCCGCGGUAAUACGUAGGUGGCAAGCGUUAUCCGGAAUUAUUGGGCGUAAAGCGCGCGUAGGCGGUUUUUUAAGUCUGAUGUGAAAGCCCACGGCUCAACCGUGGAGGGUCAUUGGAAACUGGAAAACUUGAGUGCAGAAGAGGAAAGUGGAAUUCCAUGUGUAGCGGUGAAAUGCGCAGAGAUAUGGAGGAACACCAGUGGCGAAGGCGACUUUCUGGUCUGUAACUGACGCUGAUGUGCGAAAGCGUGGGGAUCAAACAGGAUUAGAUACCCUGGUAGU
RNAcentral lists this ribosomal RNA (751 nucleotides) under Staphylococcus warneri. RNAcentral describes it as "bacterial SSU rRNA". It matches the Rfam family "Bacterial small subunit ribosomal RNA", at positions 61 to 794 of the family's 1533-position model. Lineage: Bacteria; Bacillati; Bacillota; Bacilli; Caryophanales; Staphylococcaceae. The record is from RNAcentral.